Molecule: long non-coding RNA, 204 nt
Organism: Alosa sapidissima (American shad)
Lineage: Eukaryota; Metazoa; Chordata; Actinopteri; Clupeiformes; Clupeidae
Exons: 3
Source: RefSeq, a predicted model, not a curated record
CAUUUGUUGUGCAGAUGGCGUCCUGUGUUUUUGUUUGUCGUUAGUUUUGUUUCACGUGCAAUUCUGUGCAGAUUGCUGGGCCAGUGCUGAAGUGUCAGUGCUGAAGCCUGAUGUGUUAUGUUCGCUGCUGUGCUGUGUGUAAUGUGAUGGAGUUCUGUGGGGGCUGGGGGGUUGUGGAAUAGUAACCCCGCACACACACACUCA